Podospora appendiculata is the source of this 79-nucleotide non-coding RNA. The record is from the annotation of a GenBank genome assembly. Lineage: Eukaryota; Fungi; Ascomycota; Sordariomycetes; Sordariales; Podosporaceae.
GGACAGGUAGCUCAGUGGUAGAGCAACCGGCUGCAGCGACGCCUCCGGUAGGUCACGUGUUCAACUCACGUCCGGUCCU